GAUGAAUGCUGGCGGCGUGCUUAACACAUGCAAGUCGAGCGGCAGCGCGAGUAGUUUACUACUUGGCGGCGAGCGGCGGACGGCUGAGUAGCGCGUAGGAACGUGCCCCAAAGUGAGGAAUAACUGCCCGAAAGGGUGGCUAAUGCCGCAUAUGAUCUUCGGAUUAAAGGAUUUAUCCGCUUUGGGAGCGGCCUGCGUAUGAUUAGGUAGUUGGUGAGGUAAUGGCUCACCAAGCCGACGAUCAUUAGCUGGUCUGAGAGGAUGACCAGCCAGACUGGAACUGAGACACGGUCCAGACUCCUACGGGAGGCAGCAGUGAGGAAUCUUCCACAAUGGGCGAAAGCCUGAUGGAGCAACGCCGCGUGCAGGAUGAAGGCCUUCGGGUUGUAAACUGCUUUUAUAAGUGAAGAAUAUGACGGUAACUUAUGAAUAAGCACCGGCUAACUACGUGCCAGCAGCCGCAGUAA
This 467-nucleotide ribosomal RNA is filed under the name uncultured bacterium. RNAcentral's name for it is "partial 16S ribosomal RNA". It matches the Rfam family "Bacterial small subunit ribosomal RNA", at positions 28 to 523 of the family's 1533-position model. The record is from RNAcentral.